This 28-nucleotide non-coding RNA is filed under the name Rattus norvegicus (Norway rat). The record is from RNAcentral. Lineage: Eukaryota; Metazoa; Chordata; Mammalia; Rodentia; Muridae.
UGGCCACUCAGGUCUGGUUGGAGACAGG